RNAcentral lists this ribosomal RNA (453 nucleotides) under uncultured bacterium. RNAcentral describes it as "bacterial SSU rRNA". It matches the Rfam family "Bacterial small subunit ribosomal RNA", at positions 340 to 786 of the family's 1533-position model. The record is from RNAcentral.
UACGGGAGGCAGCAGUGGGGAAUAUUGCACAAUGGGCGCAAGCCUGAUGCAGCCAUGCCGCGUGUAUGAAGAAGGCCUUCGGGUUGUAAAGUACUUUCAGUCGUGAGGAAGGUGUUAAGGUUAAUAACCUUAGCAAUUGACGUUAGCGACAGAAGAAGCACCGGCUAACUCCGUGCCAGCAGCCGCGGUAAUACGGAGGGUGCGAGCGUUAAUCGGAAUUACUGGGCUAAAGGGCACGCAGGCGGUUAAUUAAGUUGGAUGUGAAAUCCCCGGGCUUAACCUGGGAAUGGCAUUCAAGACUGGUUAGCUAGAGUCUUGUAGAGGGGGUAGAAUUCCAUGUGUAGCGGUGAAAUGCGUAGAGAUGUGGAGGAAUACCGGUGGCGAAGGCGGCCCCUGGGACAAAGACUGACGCUCAUGUGCGAAAGCGUGGGGAGCAAACGAGGAUUAGAUACC